Non-coding RNA from Chelonoidis abingdonii (Abingdon island giant tortoise), 2967 nucleotides. The record is from RefSeq and is a predicted model, not a curated record. NCBI's taxonomy places the organism in Eukaryota, Metazoa, Chordata, Testudines, Testudinidae.
CAGAUGGUUAUUGAGGACGGAGCGCCUCCAGCACGGUCACAGUUAGGUCCUUGCGUCCCGGUGCUCAUUCACGAGUCCACGGCGGAUCAUGCUGGCCAACACGGUCACGGUCCCGGCAGUUCCUGCAGUCAGGGACAUCUCUGAGAAUACAGCAGUCUGGCGCCAGGCAAUGCGUCCAGAGAGGGGGUUUUGGGGUGGGGCAUGUCCUCCAGGGAUGGAGGGAUGGGGUGUUCCGGCCUUCGCUCUGUCUCCUCCACUGAACAGCUCUCUCCUGACACCACGGCUCAGCUGGGGCCAUUCGAUGGCAGAGUGCAGCAGGUUCGUCAGAACAAACUUUUCAAGUUCAACACAGUUUGGGGAAAGGUAAACAGGCGAACUUCGCUUAGAGCGAAGCCUGGCCUGCCCCAGCUCCUUGCACAGAUCACACCAGCAGACCCCCUUGGCACAGUUCAGUCCUAAGGUCCUGGGUUGGGUGUCCAGUAGCAGGCAGCAGCGGCUCCAGGUUGCGUUCCUUUAGCGCCCCUGCAGGCAUGCUCUGGCCUGGAGAACUCCCCAACACCGACCAGCCUUUCUGCCUGCGUGUCACAGCCCCAACCUCAGUCCACGGGCUCGUCCCCAGCCCAGGCACCUCCUCCUGUCACCUAGCCCCCCCCCCUCCCCCGCCCACCAAGCGAGCUGUGACAGGAAAUCAGGGGCUGGAAUGCGGCUGCGAGGCCCUUUGCAAAGCGCCUGGCCAGCACUGCUUGGUGAGCACCAGGACUCAGGCUGCCCUGGCAUCUGUAAUUGCCACAGCCGGGCCUGGGGGCACAGCCCUGCCCCACGCCAAGGUCCCAGGUGAGGCAGGCCCUGGGCAAGGGUUGAUGAGCUGCUGGUGGCGAGAGAAACCCCCCAUCUGCCAGUGAGCAGCUGCCUCUCUCUCUCCUGUGGGAGGCCAGAGAAAGCACUGUCCCCUUCCCAAUGCCCCCGGGGCUGAGCAGCCAGGGCAGCACUGCAUUCUUCUUCCACCCGCUUGCCUCACUAGCAAAAACAAACAACUGGCUUGUGUCUGGCUGCCUCCCUCUCCAGCCUCCAUCCAAUCCCCCCACAGGGCCCUUCGCACCCUGGGCUCCCACAGAUGCUGGCCCUGCAUGGGAAAGGCCUGGGAGUACAGCAAAGUCCCUAGAGAGGGCAACAUUGCGCCUUCCUGAAGGUGCUGGGUACCUGCCUGGCCACAGGGCUCCCUGGGCUGUUCUGCAGAGGCCUGGCCUAGCUGCAGGAGCUUGGAGCUGAGUACAGCUCCUUCAGCCUCUGCCCCCUGCAAUGCCCUGCUAGGGCUCUGACUCAGGCAGCUCCGGGGUCCCCUCUGGGCCACACUUGCCCAGCAGCACCAGGAAGCUGCACCAAUGCCUGGUGUCUGGGAUCCUUUCCACUCUGGAGAGGAUGCUGCCGACAAGGCUCAAUGAGGCAGAUGAUGGGGCAAUGGGGUCAGCUCAAGGGCUCCCCAUCCAUGCUGAUGGGGCAACAAGCUCUCGCAAAGCUGCUCAAGCAACCACUAUUGGCAGAUCAGUGUCAGGGCCUUGUUAACUGUUGCCCAGCCCAGCUGCCUCUGCCUUCUGGGCACAGGAAUAAUUCAUCUUCUCCUGGGUCCCUCUGGCCCUGUAUGACGGUCCCUGGGAAAGUGAGCACCUCAGAGCCCCGCCCCCCAAGACCCCAAAGCACGGCCUGUCAUGAGCUCAGGGUGACGCAAUGGAGAUUUUUAUUGUAAUGUCAAAGCCUUAAGAGCAGGUUACAAGCAUGACAAGAGGCAGGGAGUGUGUGGGGCAGGAUAUAAGGGUGUGCAUCUGGUAUGGUGGAGCAGAGCAGGGGGCUCAGGAGGUAUAUGGGGCAGAGGAGCAGAGGGGUUGUGGGGCAGAGGAGCAGAACAGGGGGCUCGGGAGGUAUAUGGGGCGGAGGAGCAGAGGAGGGGGCUCAGGAGGUAUAUGAGGCAGAGGAGCAGAGCAGGGGGCUCAGGAGGUAUAUGGGGCAGAGGGGUUGUGGGGCAGAGGAGCAGAGCAAGGGGCUCAGGAGGUAUAUGGGGCAGAGGAGCAGAGCAGGGGGCUCGGGAGGUAUAUGGGACAGAGGGUGUGUGGGGCAGCGGAGCAGAGCAGGAGGCUCGGGAAGUAUAUGAGGCAGUGGAGCAGAGCAGGGGGCUCAGGAGGUAUAUGGGGCAGAGAAGCAGAGAGGUUGUGGGGCAGAGGAGCAGAGCAAGGGGCUCAGGAGGUAUAUGGGGCAGAGGAGCAGAGCAGGGGGCUCGGGAGGUAUAUGGGGCAGGGAAUGUGUGGAGCAGAGUGACAGAAGCAAUGAAGGAAGAAGGCAGCCUGAGUAUUUAAUGCUUUUCCUUAGCAGCAAUGGAUCCUGAGCAACAGACAACCCUACAGCUUGACGUGACGUUUUCAGAGCAGGACCUGCUGCCCCCAUGCUAGAGAGGGGAUCAGAGCAUCUUCAAAAGGGGAAAAGGAGCCAAAUAUCCGUUAUUUCCAGCCAGGCUCCAGUGUUGGGAAGAGACGGGGCUGCCACAGCCCUGCUCCCGUGGGACACAACUAGGGCUCCAAGCAGCUGCCAGCAAAGUGGACAGAUGAAGGAAUCCAGCCAGGCGGGGAGGAACAGCCAAGGUGUGAGCGAAAUGGCCAGAGAGGGCAGGACAAACCCUGAGUUCCACGUUCACAGUGUCUCAGGGGGCGCAGCCAGGGCUCCAGCAGGAACACAAGCCCCUCUGGAAACCGCCAGCAGGAACUGCCACAAAGCCAGGUCCCUCCCGCUUUCCGUAGCCAGUUAACAGACAGGAGGCUCCCAUUCCUCUGGCUGGCUCAGAGCACAGCUCCAAGGAGAACACUGCCCUUCAGUGGGAGCUCUCUCCAAUCAAGGAUGUGACAAGCAAGAGGCUGAGACUGGCAAUAGGGCUAGCCUGAAGCUUCCCCAGGGACCAGUGCCCUCCUGCUCUGCCCCCAC